UCCUACGGGAGGCAGCAGUGGGGAAUCUUGCGCAAUGGGCGAAAGCCUGACGCAGCGACGCCGCGUGGGGGAUGAAUGCCUUCGGGUUGUAAACCCCUUUCGGCAGGGACGAAGCGAACGUGACGGUACCUGCAGAAGAAGUCCCGGCUAACUACGUGCCAGCAGCCGCGGUAAGACGUAGGGGACGAGCGUUGUCCGGAUUUAUUGGGCGUAAAGAGCGCGUAGGCGGCUUGGUAAGUCGGAUGUGAAAUCCCGGGGCUCAACCCCGUGACUGCACCCGAAACUGCCCGGCUAGAGGUAGGUAGGGGAGAUCGGAAUUCCUGGUGUAGCGGUGAAAUGCGCAGAUAUCAGGAGGAACACCGGUGGCGAAGGCGGAUCUCUGGGCCUUACCUGACGCUCAGGCGCGAAAGCUAGGGGAGCAAACAGGAUUAGAUACCCUGGUAGUCCUAGCCGUAAACGUUGGGUGCUAGGUGUGGGCGGAUAUCGACCCCGUCCGUGCCGAAGCUAACGCAUUAAGCACCCCGCCUGGGGAGUACGGCCGCAAGGCUAAAACUCAAAGGAAUUGACGGGGGCCCGCACAAGCGGCGGAGCAUGCGGCUUAAUUCGAUGCAACGCGAAGAACCUUACCUGGGUUUGACAUGCAGGGUGAAAUCGUUGAAAGACGACGCUCUUCGGAGCCUGCACAGGUGGUGCAUGGCUGUCGUCAGCUCGUGCCGUGAGGUGUUGCCUUAAGUGGCGCAACGAGCGCAACCCCUGUCCUUAGUUGCCAGCGGGUAAUGCCGGGAACUCUAGGGAGACUGCCGGUGCCAAACCGGAGGAAGGUGGGGAUGACGUCAAGUCAUCAUGCCCCUUAUAUCCAGGGCUGCACGCAUGCUACAAUGCGCGAUACAGAGGGCUGCGAUCCCGCAAGGGGGAGCGAAUCCCAAAAAGUCGCGCUCAGUUCGGAUCGAGGUCUGCAACCCGACCUCGUGAAGUCGGAGUCGCUAGUAAUCGCAGAUCAGCAAUGCUGCGGUGAAUACGUUCCCGGGCCUUGUACACACCCC
Molecule: ribosomal RNA, 1043 nt
Filed under: uncultured Frankia sp.
Lineage: Bacteria; Bacillati; Actinomycetota; Actinomycetes; Frankiales; Frankiaceae
Description: bacterial SSU rRNA
Rfam family: Bacterial small subunit ribosomal RNA
Source: RNAcentral